AUACCUGGCGGAGGCCUACACCUGCAGGUUUAACGGUAACAGUGAUGUGCUUGCCCAUCGCUUACGAGUGGCGGACGGGUGAGUAAUGCUUAGGGAUCUGCCUCUGUGUGGGGGAUAACUAUUGGAAACGAUAGCUAAUACCGCAUAAAUGUUUACGGACCAAAGGGGGCGUUUGCUCCCGCGCAGAGAGGAACCUAAGUGAGAUUAGCUAGUUGGUAAGAGUAAUGGCUUACCAAGGCGACGAUCUCUAGCUGUUCUGAGAGGAAGAUCAGCCACACUGGGACUGAGACACGGCCCAGACUCCUACGGGAGUGCAGCAGUGGGGAAUAUUUGCACAAUGGGGGGAACCCUGAUGCAGCACAUGCCGCGUGUGUGAACGAAGUGCCUUCGGGUUGUAAAGCACUUUCACGUUGUGAGGAAACGGUUAGUACGUUAAUACCUGCUAGCUGUGACGUUAGCAACAAGAAGAAGCCACCGGCUAACUC
This 485-nucleotide ribosomal RNA is filed under the name uncultured Alphaproteobacteria bacterium. RNAcentral describes it as "bacterial SSU rRNA". It matches the Rfam family "Bacterial small subunit ribosomal RNA", at positions 36 to 503 of the family's 1533-position model. Lineage: Bacteria; Pseudomonadati; Pseudomonadota; Alphaproteobacteria. The record is from RNAcentral.